RNAcentral lists this ribosomal RNA (355 nucleotides) under uncultured bacterium. RNAcentral's name for it is "bacterial SSU rRNA". It matches the Rfam family "Bacterial small subunit ribosomal RNA", at positions 94 to 451 of the family's 1533-position model. The record is from RNAcentral.
AGCGGCGGACGGGUGAGUAAUGCCUAGGGAAUCUGCCUGGUAGUGGGGGAUAACGUCCGGAAACGGACGCUAAUACUCCAUACGUCCUACUGGAGAAAGCAGGGGACCUUCGGGCCUUGCGCUAUCAGAUGAGCCUAGGUCGGAUUAGCUAGUUGGUGGGGUAAUGGCUCACCAAGGCGACGAUCCGUAACUGGUCUGAGAGGAUGAUCAGUCACACUGGAACUGAGACACGGUCCAGACUCCUACGGGAGGCAGCAGUGGGGAAUAUUGGACAAUGGGCGAAAGCCUGAUCCAUCCAUGCCGCGUGUGUGAAGAAGGUCUUCGGAUUGUAAAGCACUUUAAGUUGGGAGGAAGG